Molecule: ribosomal RNA, 419 nt
Filed under: bacterium
Lineage: Bacteria
Description: partial 16S ribosomal RNA
Rfam family: Bacterial small subunit ribosomal RNA
Source: RNAcentral
UGGGGGAUAUUGCACAAUGGGCGCAAGCCUGAUGCAGCGACGCCGCGUGGGGGAUGAAGGCCUUCGGGUUGUAAACUUCUUUUGCUCUGAACAAGGCGCACUUUGGGGUGUGUUGAGUGUAGGGGUUGAUUAGCGCCGGCUAACUACGUGCCAGCAGCCGCGGUAAUACGUAGGGCGCGAGCGUUGUCCGGAAUUAUUGGGCGUAAAGGGCUUGUAGGUGGCUGGUUGCGUCUGUCGUGAAAGCUCAUGGCUUAACUGUGGGUUUGCGGUGGGUACGGGCUGGCUUGAGUGCAGUAGGGGAGGCUGGAAUUCCUGGUGUAGCGGUGGAAUGCGCAGAUAUCAGGAGGAAUACCGGUGGCGAAGGCGGGUCUCUGGGCUGUUACUGACACUGAGGAGCGAAAGCAUGGGGAGCUAACAGG